RNAcentral lists this ribosomal RNA (492 nucleotides) under uncultured bacterium. RNAcentral describes it as "partial 16S ribosomal RNA". It matches the Rfam family "Bacterial small subunit ribosomal RNA", at positions 29 to 507 of the family's 1533-position model. The record is from RNAcentral.
AGUGAACGCUGGCGGUAGGCCUAACACAUGCAAGUCGAACGGCAGCACAGUAAGAGCUUGCUCUUACGGGUGGCGAGUGGCGGACAGGUGAGGAAUACAUCGGAAUCUACUUUUUCGUGGGGGAUAACGUAGGGAAACUUACGCUAAUACCGCAUACGACCUACGGGUGAAAGCAGGGGAUCUUCGGACCUUGCGCGAUUGAAUGAGCCGAUGUCGGAUUAGCUAGUUGGCGGGGUAAAGGCCCACCAAGGCGACGAUCCGUAGCUGGUCUGAGAGGAUGAUCAGCCACACUGGAACUGAGACACGGUCCAGACUCCUACGGGAGGCAGCAGUGGGGAAUAUUGGACAAUGGGCGCAAGCCUGAUCCAGCCAUACCGCGUGGGUGAAGAAGGCCUUCGGGUUGUAAAGCCCUUUUGUUGGGAAAGAAAAGCAGCAGGUUAAUACCCCGCUGUUCUGACGGUACCCAAAGAAUAAGCGCCGGCUAACUUCGUG